Molecule: transfer RNA, 86 nt
Filed under: Rhodopseudomonas palustris HaA2
Lineage: Bacteria; Pseudomonadati; Pseudomonadota; Alphaproteobacteria; Hyphomicrobiales; Nitrobacteraceae
Description: tRNA-Gly (TCC) (tRNA-Gly-TCC-2-1)
Rfam family: tRNA
About the family: Transfer RNA (tRNA) molecules are approximately 80 nucleotides in length. Their secondary structure includes four short double-helical elements and three loops (D, anti-codon, and T loops). Further hydrogen bonds mediate the characteristic L-shaped molecular structure. tRNAs have two regions of fundamental functional importance: the anti-codon, which is responsible for specific mRNA codon recognition, and the 3' end, to which the tRNAs corresponding amino acid is attached (by aminoacyl-tRNA synthetases). tRNAs cope with the degeneracy of the genetic code in two manners: having more than one tRNA (with a specific anti-codon) for a particular amino acid; and 'wobble' base-pairing, i.e. permitting non-standard base-pairing at the 3rd anti-codon position.
Source: RNAcentral
GGGGGCGUGGCGAAACUGGUAAACGCAGUGGUCUUCCAAACCACUUCCGGCACGGAUUGCGGGUUCAAGUCCCGCCGCCCCCACCA